This 253-nucleotide ribosomal RNA is filed under the name uncultured bacterium. Its description in RNAcentral is "partial 16S ribosomal RNA". It matches the Rfam family "Bacterial small subunit ribosomal RNA", at positions 524 to 776 of the family's 1533-position model. The record is from RNAcentral.
UACGAAGGGGGCUAGCGUUGUUCGGAAUUACUGGGCGUAAAGCGCGCGUAGGCGGCUUAUCAAGUCAGGGGUGAAAUCCCGGGGCUCAACCCCGGAACUGCCUCUGAAACUGGUAGACUAGAAUCCUGGAGAGGCGAGUGGAAUUCCGAGUGUAGAGGUGAAAUUCGUAGAUAUUCGGAAGAACACCAGUGGCGAAGGCGACUCGCUGGACAGGUAUUGACGCUGAGGUGCGAAAGCGUGGGGAGCAAACAGG